RNAcentral lists this ribosomal RNA (450 nucleotides) under uncultured bacterium. RNAcentral describes it as "partial 16S ribosomal RNA". It matches the Rfam family "Bacterial small subunit ribosomal RNA", at positions 338 to 795 of the family's 1533-position model. The record is from RNAcentral.
CCUACUGGAGGCUGCAGUGGGGAAUAUUGGACAAUGGGCGGAAGCCUGAUCCAGCAAUACCGCGUGUGUGAAGAAGGCCUGAGGGUUGUAAAGCACUUUCAAUAGGAAGGAAUACCUAUCCAUUAAUACUGGGUAGACUGACAUUACCUAUACAAGAAGCACCGGCUAACUCCGUGCCAGCAGCCGCGGUAAUACGGAGGGUGCAAGCGUUAGUCGGAAUUACUGGGCGUAAAGCCGUCGUAGGCGGCGUGAAAGCCCCGGGCUUAACCUGGGAAUGGCAUUUGAUACUGGCGAGUUAGAGUUGAGUAGAGGGGAGUGGAAUUUCAGGUGUAGCGGUGAAAUGCGUAGAGAUCUGAAGGAACACCAGUGGCGAAGGCGACUCCCUGGACUCAAACUGACGCUGAGGUACGAAAGCGUGGGUAGCAAACAGGAUUAGAUACCCGUGUAGUC